UACGGAGGGUGCGAGCGUUGUCCGGAAUCACUGGGCGUAAAGGGCGCGUAGGUGGCUCGUGAAGCGUGCGGUGAAAGUCCGGGGCUCAACCUCGGAUCGGCCGUGGCGACUCGUGGGCUGGAGCACUGUAGAGGCGGGUGGAAUUCCGGGUGUAGCGGUGGAAUGCGUAGAGAUCCGGAAGAACACCAGUGGCGAAGGCGGCCCGCUGGGCAGUGGCUGACGCUGAGGCGCGACAGCGUGGGGAGCAAACAGG
This 253-nucleotide ribosomal RNA is filed under the name uncultured bacterium. Its description in RNAcentral is "partial 16S ribosomal RNA". It matches the Rfam family "Bacterial small subunit ribosomal RNA", at positions 524 to 776 of the family's 1533-position model. The record is from RNAcentral.